This 253-nucleotide ribosomal RNA is filed under the name uncultured bacterium. RNAcentral describes it as "partial 16S ribosomal RNA". It matches the Rfam family "Bacterial small subunit ribosomal RNA", at positions 524 to 776 of the family's 1533-position model. The record is from RNAcentral.
GACAGAGGGUGCGACCGUUGUUCGGAAUUACUGGGCGUAAAGGGCUCGUAGGCGGCCAACUAAGUCGGAUGUGAAAUCCCCAGGCUUAACCUGGGAACUGCAUCCGAUACUGGAUGGCUUGAAUCCGGGAGAGGGAUGCAGAAUUCCAGGUGUAGCGGUGAAAUGCGUAGAUAUCUGGAGGAAUACCGGUGGCGAAGGCGGCAUCCUGGACCGGCAUUGACGCUGAUGAGCGAAAGCUAGGGGAGCAAACGGG